GCGCAAAUCUUCAAUAUCAAUAAAGUAUCAUGUGACGCGGAAAGUGUCCCGGAUGAGGUGUCGGAUAACACACGCGGUGUCGGAUAACACACGCGCGUAUGCAAUGGACGUUUUGAGAAUUGGAGAUCGUGAUUUAUAUUUAAAGAUGUCAUAGAGAAAACCAGAGAGAAUGUGAUUGCUUUAAACAAAUGUCUAUAGGAGUGAUUCCAGAACAAUAGCGUAUGCAUGUUAACUGUGAGGAAUAAGCCUGAAAUUAAAGUGAAAUUGAUGAUUUACCCAAUUUACCUUAUGGAGGCAAAACGCAUUCGGAAAAAAUAUUAUAUCAAUUAAACUUACUUGGAUGCAUUAUUUUCAAGUUAUACUACAACGGAGAUCUAUGAACAUACUGAUAUGCCGAGACUGGGAAUAAGACACCAGGGUUGGGGGAUCCCCCCUUUUUUUCGGUUGUAUCUAAAUAUUUAUUAUAUACAUUUUUUUUUCUAAAACAAAUCUUAUCGAAAACACAAUGCUACUUUUGGGGACAGGUUACACGUACCUACCAUUUUCUCUAAUUUCCUAUGAAUAAAAAAU
RNAcentral lists this long non-coding RNA (570 nucleotides) under Mytilus galloprovincialis (Mediterranean mussel). The record is from RNAcentral. Lineage: Eukaryota; Metazoa; Mollusca; Bivalvia; Mytilida; Mytilidae.